GCAGAUGAUGGAGUAGGUGGCGGAGCAGUUGGUGGCGGCGCUGGUCAGAGGUAGGGUUCGUAGCUGGCUAUUGUUUUUUUUUGUGCCUGUUGGGCUAUUUUUUAAUUCGGGCCUGUUUGGGUUAGUUUUAGGUGGGUUGGGUCUGUUGGGUUAGGUCUAGGUGGGGGCUGGUUUGUAAAUUGGACUGGGCUGAUUGGGUUUUGCUAGGGUGAUGGGUUUAAUUUUGUUGGGUUGUAUUUGGGUCUGUUUGGGUUAGGUUUGUUAUGGGCCUAGGCUAAAUUGGGCUUGUACAGCUGCCCCUCUUUGCUCGUUGUCG
Molecule: long non-coding RNA, 316 nt
Filed under: Gossypium raimondii (Peruvian cotton)
Lineage: Eukaryota; Viridiplantae; Streptophyta; Magnoliopsida; Malvales; Malvaceae
Description: long non-coding RNA (GRAI_LNC005681)
Source: RNAcentral